Long non-coding RNA from Oreochromis aureus, 252 nucleotides. NCBI's taxonomy places the organism in Eukaryota, Metazoa, Chordata, Actinopteri, Cichliformes, Cichlidae. The record is from Ensembl.
GUGAAGUUGUGCAUAAAAUUAAAGGGAAAGUAGAAUCAUGUAGUAAAACUAACAAGAGGACACCAACAGGAUCAUCCUGCUCCAUUAAAAUUGUUUAUACAUACAACAGUGGAGAGUACUGGUAUGAGACUGAAGGAGGGAGAAGAAGCAACAGCAUCAACAUCUCUGUCACUGCUGGUUCUGUGAUCCUGGAGAGUCCUGCUGUUCCUGUGUUAAUGGAAGAAACUGUGACUCUGAGCUGCAGGAACAAAA